GGGCCGGAAGCUCAACGGUCGAGCAGUCCGCUCAUAACGGAUUGGAAGUGGGUUCGACUCCCACACGGCCCA
Molecule: transfer RNA, 72 nt
Filed under: Hyphomicrobium sp.
Lineage: Bacteria; Pseudomonadati; Pseudomonadota; Alphaproteobacteria; Hyphomicrobiales; Hyphomicrobiaceae
Also listed under: 7 other names
Description: tRNA-Met
Rfam family: tRNA
About the family: Transfer RNA (tRNA) molecules are approximately 80 nucleotides in length.
Source: RNAcentral